AGUGAACGCUGGCGGUAGGCCUAACACAUGCAAGUCGAACGGCAGCACAGUAAGAGCUUGCUCUUACGGGUGGCGAGUGGCGGACGGGUGAGGAAUACAUCGGAGUCUACUUUUUCGUGGGGGAUAACGUAGGGAAACUUACGCUAAUACCGCAUACGACCUACGGGUGAAAGCAGGGGAUCUUCUGACCUUGCGCGAUUGAAUGAGCCGAUGUCGGAUUAGCUAGUUGGCGGGGUAAAGGCCCACCAAGGCGACGAUCCGUAGCUGGUCUGAGAGGAUGAUCAGCCACCCUGGAACUGAGACACGGUCCAGACUCCUACGGGAGGCAGCAGUGGGGAAUAUUGGACAAUGGGCGCAAGCCUGAUCCAGCCAUACCGCGUGGGUGAAGAAGGCCUUCGGGUUGUAAAGCCCUUUUGUUGGGAAAGAAAAGCAGCAGGUUAAUACCCCGCUGUUCUGACGGUACCCAAAGAAUAAGCACCGGCUAACUUCGUG
This 492-nucleotide ribosomal RNA is filed under the name uncultured bacterium. RNAcentral describes it as "partial 16S ribosomal RNA". It matches the Rfam family "Bacterial small subunit ribosomal RNA", at positions 29 to 507 of the family's 1533-position model. The record is from RNAcentral.